UCGCCCUUCUCUCUCUAAAAUCCUUUUCUUAUUUCUUUUUCCUCUCUUUUCUUCUCUCUCUUUCUUUUCUCAACUAUCAACUAUGGCGGUUGCCUUCGAAGGCUUCUCCAUCCGGGACUAUGUGUGGAGGAUGAGGAGUGUGGACGUGGUGAAAUGUUGGCCUUUCGAUGGGGAUGGGCACGGGGACGAGAGUGUUUUGCUCCCUCCGAUGGAGGUGCCCAAGUUCAGAUGGUGGUCCCAUGAGGUGGAGCUUCUGAGAUCCGCUGCUGCUCAACGGAAAUCAUCUCAUAUUCAUCAAGUUGAAUCCCAAAAGCCCGACAAAUCGACGGAGGAGCGGCGGCACAAUAAGGCCAAGGCCAGGCCGCCCAAAAAACGAUCCAUUCUUGAGAUUUUCGCAGUCGCUCCCCAGAUCGAUUCGUCGGCGGAUUUGGAGGUUGGUGAUGAUGAUGAUAAUGAUGAUGAUGAUGAUGAAGCUCAAGUUGAAGGUGAAGAUGGAGAUGUAGGUGUUAUUAAAGAAGGUGAGUUUGAUUCUCCCAAUGGUGUUGCUUUCAAAAUCAAGAGCAAGAAGAGCAAGAAUAAGAAUAAGAAAAAGAAGAAGAAGAAGAGAAGUAGCUUGGAAGAAGAGGUUGCGGUGGGAAUUGAGAGCAAGGUGAAUAAGAACAAGUCCAAGAAGAAGGCUAAGAAGGACGAGGAGUCAAUUGCAAGCAAGGAGAAAAUUCAAAAGCUCAAACUCCAAACUCCAGUCAAAUUUACUGAAAAAGCAAAUGGUUCACCAUCUCAUAAGAGGUGCACAAAGGACAUCCCCAGUGGUGUUUCUAUGGGUAAAAAGAAGCCAAGCCUGAAAUGCUUAUCUGCAAAAAAGGAGAAAGUUGUUCAAACUCCCAAAUUGAUUGCAGAACACCAGAAACCAGUGCUUCCUCUUCGCGGUAUCCUGAAGAAUCAGACAAAAGUUAGGUCUGGGCAGAACCCUACUACAUGCAACAUGCAGGGCUCUAGUCAAGUGAAUCCUUGUAUUCACCAAUCAGGGAGGCAUGUCACGUUCUCAGGUAAAGAUGACAUACUUGGACCCAGGAAGAAAUAUUUUUCUUCAGCUGACUGUCAUAAAUUGCAUAAUGUCUGUGACCUAUUAUCAGAUGUGGGUACUCCUUCAACAGUAAUGGAUCAGGACAUGGAAAAUGAAAAAGAAUUCGCUGUCGAGAUAAAUGAAAGUGGUGAUGAUGUUUCCCUUGGCAUUGAAAAAGGGAAUGAGGUUCAGCCUAUAAUUGAAAAGGAUCAGUUGCCUGAUAUCUGCGAUCAUGUUGAUAUACAAAGCUUCUUGAGGCCACAAACUAGUCAAGAGAAAGCAAAGCAUUUGUCAGACAAAUCUCUAUCCUCGAGCCAAUUUGCAUCAAAUGGUGUUAAUCUGCACAAAUCUCUAUCCUUGAGUCAAAUUGCACCAAAUGGUGUUGAUCUGCAUUUGUUUGAUCAAGGCAAUCCACCUGCAUCUAGUGACACUUCAUAUGCUGGUGUUCCUAGACUUCUUUCUUCUUCAAAAGAGCGUUGUAGUCCGAUUUUAAAUUCUCAAGUAGCAGGGAACUUGCUCAUGGCUUCCAACAACAGUGGAAAGUUGAUUGACCAUUUUGGAGAUCCUACACCCAGAAUUUCUGCAACAAGAUCAAUUGCAAAUGUGAGGGCACUUUCUCAUCCUUUGUCAUCUUGUGUUUCUGUAAAUGAAAAUGCAAAUGGGAGGCUUUCAUUUUUGCCACAAAGCAGCACAGAAAAUCACAAUACCCGUGCUCUUCAGUACCAACCCUUCUCUCACCUGUCCUCCAAGGAAUUGAUGGAUAGCUUAUCUUCCUUUCCAGGAUCCAAGCAUAGAGCACUUUUAUUUGGGGAAAAGUGCAUGGAUGAUGAUUUUUUCGGUUUGCCUCUCAAUUCUCAUGGUGAACUAAUCCGGUUGAACUCAAGUGGCAAAGAUGGGCUUAACCAUCUGAAGAAUCCAAGUACCUUAUCUGGUUCUUCCUGCAGCUUACCUUUUCGUCAUCAUGUCCUACCAAAAUGUAACGGGGACAAUUUAAGUGUGAAAGAGAAGCAUUUUGUUGAGACUUUGCUUCUAAAAGACCAAUUAAAAUUGUUUCCCGCCCAAAACUACAUUGAAGAGAACUUGGAUGUACGCUUCCCAUCUAGGUUAGGUAUCACUGGAUCACAAGUUGUUGGAAGAACAGAUGCCCAAUGGCUAGGUUCUGAGAGGGCAAACAACCACUAUGUCCCUCAGCUGGAUUCAGACCCUAACUUGAUGAAAGACACUUGCCAUGGAUGCAGACAAUCUGACCAGAUUCAGUACAAAAAGGACAAUGGAAAAAUUCAUCCACGGGAGCCUUCAGACCAGAUAUUGAUGCAUACCACACAACCAACAAUGCGAUUGAUGGGUAAAGAUGUUACAAUUGGUAGAAGUAGCAAAGAUAUGCAAGGAUUAGAGGAUGGGAAGAUCUGGACUGACAAGGAAAUAAUAACAGAGAAUUGUAUCACCAGUACUGCUCUUGCAAGCUCCUCAGCCAAGGCUUAUUUUCAACAGGACUGGAUGCUACAUGCAGCAUUGAGCAAAUCAAAAGAAUCUGUUGCUCACACAUUAGAAACGCGAAGGAAUCAAACGUCACAAAGGGUUUUACAGAUGAAAGCUCCAGAGUCUAGGUUUUCUCACCCAUAUCUCAAUUGGCAAACUAAUUUAGUGUCCCAAAGUCACAGUAAUCAAAGUUCCAGUUCUCUCUCUUUUGCUCCUCCUCCCCCCUCCCCUGCAAUGCUCAACAGGGCACCCAACUUCCAUGAGCCCUUUAUAUCUGGAAAUGAGUCUCUAAAGGUCAACUCUCAGAUACCAGUAUUGUCAUCUUCUCCUCAUAGUACCCGUCAGCACAUGCAUCUGAAUUCUGCUGAGCUAAGAUACAACCAGGGCCUUCAUGCUACAAAAUCGGCAUUUGAGUUUCCCUUCAUGCAUCCAGAUUAUAGAGAACAUGGCCAGCCAUCAUGGUUCCCGAAUCCCUCAAAGAGUCUGCCCCCAUGGUUGAUACAUGCAGCACAACAGAAAAAAACAUCUAUUGCCUCAUCUCAACCUUAUUCUGAUCUGGAUGGUAAACACCAUUCCUGCACUGUCUCUCAAACUAACUUUAUAUCUGUCCCUUCUGUGCAUCAAUCACCGGUGCUAUCUUAUCCUUACUGUCCCAUGAAAUCUCAAUCUCAAAUUCAGAGUUCCCUUGGUCACUCUUUUGUUCACUCUCCACUCAUUCCUGUCCUUCCUGGAUUUAAACAUACUUCUUCAAGCAAUGUGAACUACAGAAACAGAAUCAAGGUCAAAGACAGAAUGAAAUCAAAAAGCUUUUUUGUUAAAGAUUCUGACUAUAGCAAGAAUACAAAAAAGAGGCCAGCAGCUGAAGCAAAUGAAUCCCCAAAGCCUCCUAAGUUGAUGACCUUAGAAAUGAGAGAAGAAUCUACCACUGUGACAGGGUUGAACACAGUGGGAAACUAUAGCAGUGAAGAGCAACUUAACCCGGUUGCACUUGAACUCAAUUCAGACAGAGAUCAAGCAAGCAGUAUAGGAUGCACGCCAAGUGAGACUCAGAAGGAUGGGCUAGCAAAUUCUCCAGGGAUUGAUGCUGCCAAAUUGGAUGGUGUGACAAGAUCCGGUCCUGUUAAAUUAAGUGCAGGAGCGAAGCACAUCCUGAAACCCAGUCAAAAUAUGGAUCAUGAUAGCUCCAGGCCAACCCAUUCAACUAUUCCUUUUGCUGCGGUAACUGAUUCUGGCAGGGUUUCAGGACCUCAGAAAAAAACAGCAAAGAUUUACAGGUUUUAGGAGAAGGCAUGUUAGUCCAAGAUACAAGGCGGUUCAUUUCUUCAUUAGGGUGACCAAGUUCCAAGGGAUUAGUAUUAUCAAGUUCAGGACUUCGGGCUUUUGAUACUAGCUCCAAGACGUGGACCCCAGGCUUCAUUGCAACUGCCAAAGAUCUGUUGUUACAUUAAGGUUUCUACUUCUUUUUAAAUCAGCAUCAAAGUUUACGCAUGUCUAACAAUUGGUAUCAAAGUCUUGGUUGAAGAUGUCUAAAAGAGCCUUGAUUGAAAAAAUCUAGAAGAGCCUUGGUUGAAGAUUUGUGAAAAGCCUUGUUUGAAGAUUUCAGGAAAAGCAGAGAAAUGUAACACAAAAGUUUGCAAAAAAAAAAAAAAAAAGGUUAAAAAUGGAGUCAAUUGUUAUCUCAUUAGUGAUAAGAAGGGGAUUGUGGUACACAAGUCCAUGGUGCACGAAGGAAGCUAUGGCACAUGAUAAGAGCGAGAUGUAAAAAAGAAGUCAUGUAUCAUAGUGAGAUAAACGAUUGACUUAAUGAAA
Molecule: RNA transcript, 4351 nt
Organism: Vitis riparia (riverbank grape)
Lineage: Eukaryota; Viridiplantae; Streptophyta; Magnoliopsida; Vitales; Vitaceae
Exons: 5
Source: RefSeq, a predicted model, not a curated record